This 428-nucleotide ribosomal RNA is filed under the name uncultured Chlamydiae bacterium. RNAcentral describes it as "bacterial SSU rRNA". It matches the Rfam family "Bacterial small subunit ribosomal RNA", at positions 958 to 1385 of the family's 1533-position model. The record is from RNAcentral. Lineage: Bacteria; Pseudomonadati; Chlamydiota; Chlamydiia.
AACGCGAAGAACCUUACCUGGGCUCGAAAUGUAGAGGACUAGGCAAGAGAUUGUCUAUCCCGAAAGGGUCUCUAUAUAGGUGCUGCAUGGCUGUCGUCAGCUCGUGCCGUGAGGUGUUUGGUUAAGUCCAGCAACGAGCGCAACCCUUAUCGUUAGUUGCCAGCGCGUAAUGGCGGGAACUCUAACGAGACUGCCUAGGUUAACUAGGAGGAAGGUGAGGAUGACGUCAAGUCCGCAUGGCCUUUAUGUCCAGGGCUACACACGUGCUACAAUGGUCGGUACAGAAGGCAGCGAAACCGCGAGGUGGAGCAAAUCCUAGAAAACCGAUCUCAGUUCGGAUUGCAGUCUGCAACUCGGCUGCAUGAAGUUGGAAUUGCUAGUAAUGGCGUGUCAGCAACAACGCCGUGAAUACGUUCCCGGGCCUUGUA